Molecule: ribosomal RNA, 401 nt
Filed under: uncultured bacterium
Lineage: Bacteria
Description: partial 16S ribosomal RNA
Rfam family: Archaeal small subunit ribosomal RNA
Source: RNAcentral
AUACCGGCUGCUCGAGUGAUGGCCACUAUUACUGGGUUUAAAGCGUCCGUAGCUUGACUGUUAGGUCUCUUGGGAAAUCUUUUGGCUUAACCAAAAGGCGUCUAAGAGAUACCGGCAUUCUUGGAACUGGGAGAGGUAAGCCGUACUUCGGGGGUAGGAGUGAAAUCUUGUAAUCCUCGAGGGACGACCUAUGGCGAAGGCAGCUUACCAGAACAGCUUCGACAGUGAGGGACGAAAGCUGGGGGAGCAAACGGGAUUAGAUACCCCGGUAGUCCCAGCCGUAAACAAUGUGCGUUAGGUGUGUCGGUUACCACGCGUAACUGAUGCGCCGAAGAGAAAUCGUGAAACGCACCACCUGGGAAGUACGGUCGCAAGGCUGAAACUUAAAUGAAUUGGCGGGG